This 468-nucleotide ribosomal RNA is filed under the name uncultured bacterium. RNAcentral's name for it is "partial 16S ribosomal RNA". It matches the Rfam family "Bacterial small subunit ribosomal RNA", at positions 28 to 507 of the family's 1533-position model. The record is from RNAcentral.
GAUGAACGCUGGCGGCGUGCUUAACACAUGCAAGUCGAACGGAAGGGCCAUGUUUUUGUGGGGUGCUCGAGUGGCGAGUGGGUGAGUAGCAUGUAAGUAACCUGCUCCUGACUUAGGGAUAACUUAAGGUAGGUGGGGCUCAUCCCGGAUAGGAGCUUUUGCUGCAUGGUGGGGGUUGGAAUGUUUCGGCGGUUGGGGAUGAACUCGCGGCUUAUGUGCUUGUUGGUGGGGUAGUGGAUUAGCACGGGUGUGACGGGUGGCCGGCCGGAGAGGGUGACCGGGCACAUGAGGAGAAUGAUACGGCCCGGAGCCCUACGGGAGGCAGCAGAGGGGAAGAUAGAACAAUCCGGGGAAGCCGGAUGCAGCAACACCGCGUGCUGGAUGACGACCUUCUGGUUGUAAACCGCUUUCGCCUGUGACGAUGCGAGAUUGACGGUAAUGUAUAAAGAAGCACCGGCUAACUACGUG